Non-coding RNA from Salmo salar (Atlantic salmon), 281 nucleotides. NCBI's taxonomy places the organism in Eukaryota, Metazoa, Chordata, Actinopteri, Salmoniformes, Salmonidae. The record is from RefSeq and is a predicted model, not a curated record.
ACACAAACCACAUUCUGACUGGUGGAUUUUUGCAAUAUACUGGCAACAGAUCAUCUAACUACCCUAAAAAUGGCAAUUCAGAUGAUCAUUUGGAUGAGCGCCUUCCUCUGCCUCGUGCAAGUUUUCUCGAUGCCCAUGCCUUGCCAGCUACAAGGACAGCUGGUGCGAUCAACCCACAACCUACUGAGAGACAUGGGGGGUCAUUUUCCUAUGGAGUGCCUGCAGGACAAUGUCUUCAUGGAAUUCCCAGCCACGGCAUUUGCAACCUCCGGAGGGCCACA